AUACAGAGGGUGCGAGCGUUAAUCGGAAUUACUGGGCGUAAAGCGCGCGUAGGCGGCUAUGUAAGUCGGAUGUGAAAGCCCCGGGCUUAACCUGGGAAUUGCAUUCGAAACUGCAUGGCUAGAGUCUGGUAGAGGGAAGUGGAAUUUCCGGUGUAGCGGUGAAAUGCGUAGAUAUCGGAAGGAACAUCAGUGGCGAAGGCGGCUUCCUGGACCAAGACUGACGCUCAGGUGCGAAAGCGUGGGGAGCAAACAGGAUUAGAUACCCCGGUAGUCC
RNAcentral lists this ribosomal RNA (274 nucleotides) under uncultured bacterium. RNAcentral describes it as "partial 16S ribosomal RNA". It matches the Rfam family "Bacterial small subunit ribosomal RNA", at positions 523 to 796 of the family's 1533-position model. The record is from RNAcentral.